AUAUAUAAUUUCUUUUCCUCAUUUUAACAUGCUUUUCUACAAAGAUCACAGCAGCACUAAAAAGAACAGACACUAUCACCUGAUUAUACACAUUCCCAAACACAGACAGAAAGUUCUGGGCCAGUGGCAUCUAUUAGACCGGGAGCCCACAGGGGUCAACCUAGCUGAAAACGAACCAAUUUCCCUUAGUGUAAUCUUGCUGGGGGCAUAUGACAGUUCAUCAGAAUGGAUGUCUGCCGGGUCCGUGGUGGUGGGUGUGGCUGUGAGGGGUGUGGAAAUUAAUUCAAAUUAAUUUGGGUUACCACUGCCAGACACACCAAAAUUUGAGCUAAAUCAGCUGAUAUAGAUAUCCGAAGUGAAUAAAACUAGUUGGAAUUGGUUCAGUAUCAACCCAGGUAUCAUGAAUGAACAUUGCCAGACAGUUUCUGUGGUGGGUUACCACUGCCAGACACACCAAAAUUUGAGCUAGAUCAGCUGAUAUAGAUAUCUGAACUGAAUGAAACUAGCUGGUAUCAGUUCAGAUAUCUAUAUAAAACAGGAGGCAGAACUUGAUCACGUGACAGACGUGUUUACAAGCAGCCACAUGCUCAACUCUUGGAGUCAUGCAGCCGACAGUGAGCAAGGGAAAACAUGAAGGGUGACAGGAGGGACAGGAUAGCCAGCGACAUCUGCUGGCCAAACGGGGAAGGGACAUGAAAGACUAGGAUAACAGGAGCUGAUCCGGACAACAGGGUGCUGUAGAGUCCAAUACCUGUGUCCGGAUGGCAGGCACAGAUAUCAUGGGGUUCUGUAAUGUUUGGCACCCAAUACAGUGAUCCUCCCUUGUUAGGGUGUAGUGUAUACCCGGCCUAUACAAACCCACAGUGCGUCCCCUAUAAAACUCUGUCAAGUGUUGGUAAUGCUGUCUAAUGCAUCUAUGAGGCAUCCUUCUGUUGACAAAUUGCACCUUGGUGAUCAUUGGACUUUCCAGCAAGACAAUGAUCACAAGCACACCUCCAAAUCAACCAAAGCUUGGUUGAGAAAAAGAUCCUGGAACAUCCUUGAGUGACCUUCUUAGUCACCAGAUUUAAAUCUGAUUGAAAAUCUUUGGUGGGAUUUAAAGCAGGCAGUUGAAGCAUGGAGGCCAUCAAACAUCACUGAGCUAAAGGCUUUUGCAUGUGAAGAAUGGGCAAAGACACCGAUUCUCAGCACUUACUGAAAACAUUUGUUGGAAGUUAUAAAAGGUAAAGGAUGCUCUACAAAGUACUGAAGCUGGGGAUUGAAUAAUACUGCAAAUGUGUGGAAAGAGUUGCAUUUUUCAUUUGAUCUUCAAAGUUAAGUCUUUCAAAGUAAAUUGAAACUUCUGUUGUCAAAUUAACUCAGAUAUGUAUCAAGAAAUGUUUCUUGUUUAGUGAGUUUUUUUGUUAUUUAUUGUCUAUAUCUAUAUUGUUGAACAUUUCUGAUUGCAGCUGUAGUUAAUAAGACACUUACUAUCCUGCAGAUUAGUGACUUCAGCUUUUAGAGUUAAAACUUUUUUUUGGAGUUAAAAUAUUGGAAAAAAACUUUUAAUGUCACCCUUAGCCUCCAGUGCAAUCUUCCUUUCUACAUUCCUCUUAGGGAGUCUAAUGUUAUUUUUUAACUCAACCUGUAGACUUAGAUACUCCUGCUUUAUUUUGAAAUCAUUAGUUAUUUUCUAUUUGUGGAACAGAGCCCUUUUCCUCCUGACUUUAUUCUUAAUUUCCGCAGUAAACCACCUUUGUUGCAGUUUCCUAGAUUUAGUUUUGCUGGAAACAGGUUUGAAGUUUUCCAUUGUGCUUGAAAUAAUAAUUUAAAAAAUGCUUUUAAAAAUUCACGUCUCUUCAACAGUUUUGAUAUUUAACUCCAUUCAGUUUACAAUUUGUAGUUUCAGUCUAAUAUCAUUAAAGUUAACCCUCUUAACACUGUAUAUUUUUGCUUUGGACUUUGCUCUUUAGACAAACCUAAUUGUUGUGCAAGUAAGUUUGUAUAAAAUCAACUGAUUUGUUUGUUUUUACCAGGAUCAGAAACCAAGGACAGACAAAACUCUGUUAAAAACUCUUCAGGGGCGUCUUCAGGAGGAAACUCAGUGGUGAUUUGGGUGAUUGGGGUGAUUGUGGGGAUUGUGAUGACUGUGGGGGCCAUGGUGGGGAUUGCAGAGUUGUUCAAAUUACUGAUGAAUCGGCAAAAAAAUCAAACAUUGACCUGAUCAGGGAACAUCUGAACAUCCCCUGAUUGGAAAUGCUGCCUCUUGCCAUUCUGGGGAGCAGCGUUACUGAGAAGAUGGAGGGAACCGGCUGUGUGAUCAAAACCAGGCUGAAUAAUAACUGUCUGUUUUUCAUAACUGCUUGUCACAUAUGUAUGAAAUGUGAUAUUAUACUUUUAUCUACUCUGCAACUUUGGCUCUCAUGUUACCUGUAUAAUACAUGAACAUAAUGCAAAAUUUAAUAGGGCUGGGACUAUUGAUAACGCUCGUGAAUAAGAAAGUAAGUUAGUAAGUAAGCUAUAACCCGUGCAGUAACCCAUUACCCAAAACCUCCUGGUUAAAACUAGUUUAACUGAAUAAACACACCUGCAUUGUAACGCACCGGCAGUGUAAACACAUACCAUAGUGCCUUCGGAGGUGUGACAGUCCCAGAAAGAAGCUGUUUGCAAGCAAAUUUUUCUAAAUUGGUUAUUGUCCCAGUACUAAAAUUUUGCAAUAUGCAAAAAUAUAUUAUUUAUUUUUAGUGUAGAUUUAAUAUUUUCUAGCCACCGCAGUGGGUUUGCAUCCCACCUCCACUCUCUACUUGUGGGGCUUGAAUCCCCCUCUGCUCCAUGUGUAUGGUUUGAAUCCCACCUCCACUGUGUGAGAUUUUCAUGCGUCCUUAGCACUCAUGGACAGAGUGGUGGCUCUAAGGCUUGGGCUCUAUGCCUGCAAUUGGAAGGUUGCUAGUUCAAAUCCUGUGAAUACCCAGAGUGAUUCUAUUCCAUUGGGCCCUUGAGCAAGGCCCUUAACCUGCAAUUGCUUCAUCCUGGAUAUGACGUUAAUCUACAUCUAGCCCUAUAAUGAUGUUCUCCAGCUUACAGGGAAAUUUGAGGGUUGCUGGCAGGAUUGCCACUCCAGGCUCCGGAAAAAACUCAAACUGCUCCAUUCGGACUAGUGCGGUGCUGAGGUGUCAUUCAGGUUCUCAUGCCUGAGGUGGUUUGUCAUGUGGUGGGUUCGGCAACACACUGUAAUCAGUACCUGCUCCUUACCUCUCUCUUAGCACUAAGAUGCGGAGUCACCUGCCUGGUAAUGAACAAACAGACAAGGUCACUUGUAGUAUAUGUAUUGUUUAUAUACUACCAGUUAAACUGGAAAUUUUAUAACUUUUUAGGUAAUCUCUGUAUUGCUUUUUAAACUUUUAUAAUCACUGCAUUUUAAUAUCUUUCUGCUACAUAUAAAGCCUGAAAAAUCGAAAAUUUAAUUCUAGUUGACUUAAGUAGAUUUUUACAAUAAAGCUAUGUAUUUAUACUGUUUAA
Brienomyrus brachyistius is the source of this 3498-nucleotide long non-coding RNA. RefSeq lists it as uncharacterized. The transcript has 2 exons. NCBI's taxonomy places the organism in Eukaryota, Metazoa, Chordata, Actinopteri, Osteoglossiformes, Mormyridae. The record is from RefSeq and is a predicted model, not a curated record.